Molecule: ribosomal RNA, 199 nt
Filed under: uncultured bacterium
Lineage: Bacteria
Description: partial 16S ribosomal RNA
Rfam family: Bacterial small subunit ribosomal RNA
Source: RNAcentral
CGGAUUGGAGUCUGCAACCCGACUCCAUGAAGCUGGAUUCGCUAGUAAUCGCGCAUCAGCCACGGCGCGGUGAAUACGUUCCCGGGCCUUGUACACACCGCCCGUCAAGCCAUGGAAGCCGGGGGUGCCUAAAGUGCGUGACCGCAAGGGACGCCCUAGGGUAAAACCGGUGACUGGGGCUAAGUCGUAACAAGGUACC